Molecule: non-coding RNA, 28 nt
Filed under: Mus musculus (house mouse)
Lineage: Eukaryota; Metazoa; Chordata; Mammalia; Rodentia; Muridae
Source: RNAcentral
CCCAAGUUUGAUUUUAAACAAAGAGCAG